RNAcentral lists this ribosomal RNA (554 nucleotides) under Equus caballus (horse). Its description in RNAcentral is "partial large subunit ribosomal RNA". It matches the Rfam family "Bacterial large subunit ribosomal RNA", at positions 1816 to 2597 of the family's 2925-position model. Lineage: Eukaryota; Metazoa; Chordata; Mammalia; Perissodactyla; Equidae. The record is from RNAcentral.
CACCUCUAGCAUUUCCAGUAUUAGAGGCACUGCCUGCCCAGUGACAUCUGUUUAAACGGCCGCGGUAUCCUAAUCGUGCAAAGGUAGCAUAAUCACUUGUUCCCUAAAUAGGGACUUGUAUGAAUGGCCACACGAGGGUUUUACUGUCUCUUACUUCCAAUCAGUGAAAUUGACCUUCCCGUGAAGAGGCGGGAAUGACUAAAUAAGACGAGAAGACCCUAUGGAGCUUUAAUUAACUGAUUCACAAAAAACAACACACAAACCUAACCUUCAGGGACAACAAAACUUUUGAUUGAAUCAGCAAUUUCGGUUGGGGUGACCUCGGAGAACAAAACAACCUCCGAGUGAUUUAAAUCCAGACUAACCAGUCAAAAUAUAUAAUCACUUAUUGAUCCAAACCAUUGAUCAACGGAACAAGUUACCCUAGGGAUAACAGCGCAAUCCUAUUCCAGAGUCCAUAUCGACAAUUAGGGUUUACGACCUCGAUGUUGGAUCAAGACAUCCUAAUGGUGCAACCGCUAUUAAGGGUUCGUUUGUUCAACGAUUAAAGUCUU